This is a long non-coding RNA of Gorilla gorilla gorilla (western lowland gorilla), 512 nucleotides long. RefSeq lists it as uncharacterized. The record is from RefSeq and is a predicted model, not a curated record. The transcript has 3 exons. NCBI's taxonomy places the organism in Eukaryota, Metazoa, Chordata, Mammalia, Primates, Hominidae.
UCAAGAAUGAGGUUGGAAGAGAUCAUUCUCCUGUUUGCAAAUGAGAAACAAGUAUAGGUGUGAAGAGACCUGUCCACAGCCAUUCAACAAAUGAAAAGUCCAGUCGAAGAUGGGACCUGAUUUCUUACACCCCAGGGUCUCUGCAGUCCCUCACCGCCUUUCAUAAAGGCUCUGUGGAGUUCUCUCAGCCCCAGCUACCUCUUUCACACCUGUAUGCCAGGUGGGCACAGGCCUUAUGGAUUGAGGAGACUUUUUGCCAAAGUUGACUUCAUGGUAUACAUGUUAAAGAAAUGUUGGCACAUGGAUGAAGUACGUUUCUCAAAAGAUAGAGCCCACGAGAUUGACUUCCAGACAAAGGGAUGUGGGCAGAAAUGAUGUGUGUGGUUUCCACGAAGGAACAAUCUGCAAAUGGCCCACCAUGCCCUUCCCCUCCCACCUUCUUGAUGAAGAUGGGUGUGACCACCAUGAAAGCCCUGAUUUGACAAGGCAGAGCCACAGGGUGGAAAAAUGAG